This 456-nucleotide ribosomal RNA is filed under the name uncultured bacterium. RNAcentral describes it as "bacterial SSU rRNA". It matches the Rfam family "Bacterial small subunit ribosomal RNA", at positions 340 to 786 of the family's 1533-position model. The record is from RNAcentral.
UACGGAAAGCAGCAGUGGGGAAUAUUGCACAAUGGGCGCAAGCCUGAUGCAGCCAUGCCGCGUGUAUGAAGAAGGCCUUCGGGUUGUAAAGUACUUUCAGCGGGGAGGAAGGGAGUAAAGUUAAUACCUUUGCUCAUUGACGUUACCCGCAGAAGAAGCACCGGCUAACUCCGUGCCAGCAGCCGCGGUAAUACGGAGGGUGCAAGCGUUAAUCGGAAUUACUGGGCGUAAAGCGCACGCAGGCGGUUUUGUUAAGUCAGAUGUGAAAUCCCCGGGCUCAACCUGGGAACUGCAUCUGAUACUGGCAAGCUUGAGUCUCGUAGAGGGGGUAGAAUUCCAGGUGUAGCGGUGAAAUGCGUAGAGAUCUGGAGGAAUACCGGUGGCGAAGGCGGCCCCUGGGACGAAGACUGACGCUCAGGGUGCGAAAGCGUGGGGAGCAAACAGGAUUAGGAUACC